Molecule: ribosomal RNA, 475 nt
Filed under: Clostridioides difficile
Lineage: Bacteria; Bacillati; Bacillota; Clostridia; Peptostreptococcales; Peptostreptococcaceae
Description: partial 23S ribosomal RNA
Rfam family: Bacterial large subunit ribosomal RNA
Source: RNAcentral
UAAUGUCUAAGUAUCAUUAAGUGAAUACAUAGCUUAAUGAGGGGAACUCAGGGAACUGAAACAUCUAAGUACCUGAAGGAAGAGAAAGAAAUUCGAUUCUGUAAGUAGCGGCGAGCGAACGCGGAUUAGCCCAAACCAAUAAAGUUUUCUUUAUUGGGGUUGCGGACAUAUCAUAACGAAGAGGUAUCGUAAUUGAAGAGGUUUGGAAAGAUCCACCACAGAAGGUAAUAGUCCUGUAUGUUAAACGAGAAGACUUUAGAUAUGAUCCAGAGUACCACGGGACACGUGAAACCCUGUGGGAAGCAGGAGGGACCACCCUCCAAGGCUAAAUACUACCUAGUGACCGAUAGCGUAUAGUACCGUGAGGGAAAGGUGAAAAGAACCCCGGGAGGGGAGUGAAAUAGAACCUGAAACCCUGCACUUACAAGCUGUGGAAGCACAUUUCUUGUGUGACCGCGUACUUUUUGUAGAACGG